GACGAACACUGGCGGCGUGCCUAAUACAUGCAAGUAGAACGCUGAAGAGAGGAGCUUGCUCUUCUAGGAUGAGUUGCGAACGGGUGAGUAACGCGUAGGUAACCUGCCUUGUAGCGGGGGAUAACUAUUGGAAACGAUAGCUAAUACCGCAUAACAAUGGAUGACUCAUGUCAUUUAUUUGAAAGGGGCAAAUGCUCCACUACAAGAUGGACCUGCGUUGUAUUAGCUAGUAGGUGAGGUAACGGCUCACCUAGGCGACGAUACAUAGCCGACCUGAGAGGGUGAUCGGCCACACUGGGACUGAGACACGGCCCAGACUCCUACGGGAGGCAGCAGUAGGGAAUCUUCGGCAAUGGGGGCAACCCUGACCGAGCAACGCCGCGUGAGUGAAGAAGGUUUUCGGAUCGUAAAGCUCUGUUGUAAGUCAAGAACGAGUGUGAGAGUGGAAAGUUCACACUGUGACGGUAGCUUACCAGAAAGGGACGGCUAACUACGUGCCAGCAGCCGCGGCAAUACGUAGGUCCCGAGCGUUGUCCGGAUUUAUUGGGCGUAAAGCGAGCGCAGGCGGUUUGAUAAGUCUGAAGUUAAAGGCUGUGGCUCAACCAUAGUUCGCUUUGGAAACUGUCAAACUUGAGUGCAGAAGGGGAGAGUGGAAUUCCAUGUGUAGCGGUGAAAUGCGUAGAUAUAUGGAGGAACACCGGUGGCGAAAGCGGCUCUCUGGUCUGUAACUGACGCUGAGGCUCGAAAGCGUGGGGAGCGAACAGG
This 765-nucleotide ribosomal RNA is filed under the name uncultured Streptococcus sp. Its description in RNAcentral is "bacterial SSU rRNA". It matches the Rfam family "Bacterial small subunit ribosomal RNA", at positions 28 to 776 of the family's 1533-position model. Lineage: Bacteria; Bacillati; Bacillota; Bacilli; Lactobacillales; Streptococcaceae. The record is from RNAcentral.